AACGAACGCUGGCGGCAGGCUUAACACAUGCAAGUCGAGCGCAUCCUUCGGGGUGAGCGGCAGACGGGUGAGUAACGCGUGGGAACGUACCCUUUGCUACGGAAUAGCUCCGGGAAACUGGAAUUAAUACCGUAUGUGCCCUUCGGGGGAAAGAUUUAUCGGCAAAGGAUCGGCCCGCGUUGGAUUAGCUAGUUGGUGGGGUAAAGGCCUACCAAGGCGACGAUCCAUAGCUGGUCUGAGAGGAUGAUCAGCCACAUUGGGACUGAGACACGGCCCAAACUCCUACGGGAGGCAGCAGUGGGGAAUAUUGGACAAUGGGCGCAAGCCUGAUCCAGCCAUGCCGCGUGAGUGAUGAAGGCCUUAGGGUUGUAAAGCUCUUUCAACGGUGAAGAUAAUGACGGUAACCGUAGAAGAAGCCCCGGCUAACUUCGUGCCAGCAGCCGCCGCAG
Molecule: ribosomal RNA, 449 nt
Filed under: uncultured bacterium
Lineage: Bacteria
Description: partial 16S ribosomal RNA
Rfam family: Bacterial small subunit ribosomal RNA
Source: RNAcentral